CAAAAGCAGCUCUGGCCAUCUACAGUAUGUUGAGUAUAGUUUAGACAUCAGUAAGUGAUGUUUUCCUCCCUUUUCCUUGAGAAACUGAACCCUUACCUGCUCAACCGCUCUAAGUAGCUCUGCGAGUGUGAAAUAUAAAAUGUUUGCUCGGGGCGUGUUGCCGAUUAAGUUUGUGUGUGCGAGCGCGUGUGCACCCAGCAGCAUGUGUGUGGCUGCCUUGGUGCCUGAAGAGUUUUUGGUAAGAAGCAUAAGCAUCACUGCUCAGGCCUCCAGACUCUCCCGUUCCAAUUAACCAGCCCAGCAGCCUGCAGCUUGACUGGCCUUAUCUGGGAGGAAAAAAAAAAAAGGGCCUGAGAGGGGCGGGCGAAGUGACAGAGGGAGACAGGACAUAGGAUAGACAGAGAGUUGGAACGCAAGAGAAAAAAAGUAAGGCUUGAGAUAAAAAGAAAAAUGAAAAAAACGGAACUAAGUGGAUCUUGUUCUGCAGUGCUACGGUGGAUUCCUGCUUGCUUCUGCUAUUCCUUCACCCAAAGUGAACAACAUACCCUUUCCCGCUCUCCUUCCUUCCUCACGUUAAUACGAGGGAAAACCAUUUUGAAAUAAACACCUUCAAGAGUUUUAGGAUGUAAAGUAAGGUGACAGAGGAAUUGUUCUAUCGCCUGAAGUUGGCUGGGAAAGACUCCCCUGCGGCCCUGUGUGCAGGAUAAGCGGUUUGCAGAUGGAUGGAUGUUAGUGACAACAGUAGCCUUACAUUGACUUGGCAUUUCACAACAACAUCCAAAAGCUACCAUUAAAAAAAAAAAAAUGUACAUGCUGGCAGGCAUCCCGUCCUUUCUGUAUGUUAUUUGCCAAGAGCACUUACAAGCAAUUUGUAGUUCUGUAGUGGCCAAUGACACGAAGCAUUUCAGCAGCAGCCCACCAACCUAUGAAAGGGAAGGGAGUACAGCGAGUGGGUUGGAAAAAAGCACUGCUUUUUGCGUGUAGGAAAAAGGGUUUGACAGGGAAUGAGAGGUUGGAAAAGUGGACACAAGUUACCAAUAAUGACUAACAAUGAAUUAUAAAUGAAGCUUCAAACUACCAGAUACAAACAUAGUUAUGAAUAAGUUUUGGAAUACAACGUUAAUGAGAUAAUGACUGAGAUAGUCUGUGAUAUUGUCAUACCAAGUACAGACACAGGUGUUUAAUACGGAGCUGCUAGUUAAAUGCAAGGCACACGUUUAGGUUCAUCGGGGUAUCGCUAUUUCCAAUUCCAUUUCGAAAAUACCUGUUAAGUCAAAAGCACGAUUGUCGAUUCUGACGAUUUGUUUUUAUUUUUCACCCACGCGGACCAUACAGCUUCCAAAUGAAAUGAACAAUAUUGGGAAAAACAGCAUAGAUGACCAUUAGCUUGUAGUUAAACGGGCAACAAAAUACUGUUGAAUACAGAACUGAAAAAAAACAACUAGCUUUAAAUAAGUCAUUGGUGUGAAGUUAAUUUGCUUUCCAAGGGAUACAUAACAAUGGCAAAUCAGCAAGUGAUGAAAAAAUGACAAAAACACUUUAAUAGGAAAUUGAACCGUGGUUUAAAAAAGGUGACCUGCAUAAAAAAAAUGUAAUUCUUAACAUUUUUUAUUGACUUGAUUUUCACCAUAUUUGUUGUUGCCAAAUGCGUAAUGGCAAUAUUCCAAAGCGCCAUCAGAAGUUAGUGGGUUGCAGCCCUUUGUUGAUCAGAUCGCCAAAAGAAUUCAAAACAGAAGUAAAGCCUAGUUUACGCUUCUGCGUUUUCAGAGAUGCAAGGACACGCAGACGCAAGAGCCCCUUGCGUGUCCCUUGCGUGCCUCGACCCAUUUCUCUAGACUACCGUCAAAAGCUACGCAAGCCUCUCGCAGCCCGCAAGGCUGCGAUUGGUCUGCUAACUACAUCUUUUCCGGAGUCUCCCAUUUCCGUUUUCAUAUCUUUUGUCGGAAAAAAUCUGUAAAUAUGACUUCUACAACCUGUCAUUGGCGGACUAUAAGGACGCGCGGAUGGUUUGCCAGUCGAGAAGUGCACAAAGUUGUGGAGGAAAAUACGGGACAAAUGUGUCCGCGAUGAAAAGCAACAGUGGCGAUGCACGGGGCAAUAAAGUCUAUGAUAAAUAAAUAAACAAACCAACAACUUCCACACACAGAGAUGUGACUCUACCUAUUGUUCUGGCGGUGAAUUGCUCUGCAACACACGCAAGCCUUUUAGAACCAUGAAUUGAAACGAGUGCGUCGACACAACAGUGCGUAAAGACGCAUGCGCAGAAGCAUGCGCCAGCCUUAACCGCGAAACUAUCCUUUAAAUGAACGUAUAGAAGUGCUUUAAAAGCCUGACCACAAUCCAGUGUGGUUCAUUGUGUACCUUCACACGUUGCUGCUUGUCUGUAAAAUGGAGGAACAGAAGUUACCACUAUCAAAUAACAUUUUGCUUGAGCAAGUCCUAGAUUCAUGAAAAUUGACUAGUAUGGGUAUUACUGGGUUUUGUGUGUGCAUCGGUGUAUCUGAGGUUGGGGUGGAGAAUUGCUUUGCCUUCUCACCCCCAAUAAAUGAUGGACGAAAUCUGACAGGAAAAAUGAGAAGGACCGAAAAGUAAAGGACGUGAGAUGGAGCAGAGAGGGAGGACACUGAAGCACACGUAGUAAUUCAGAGCAGAUUGCCUGUGGUAAAUGACGUCGAUUACCAUCUUAUAUAUAAUGUCAAAAAGACAUUUUCUACACUUGUGCCACGGGUCUGAUAUUUGCACCUUAUUAAGGGGGCUGCCCUAUAUUUUAAGAAGUCAACGUACUAACCGCAGUGAGCUUCCAUUUACCUCUAAGCUACCUGUGCAUGUGUCUGAUUGACGACUUUGGGGAUUUUGAGUGAAAGGGGUUGCUGAAUAGAACUGUCGCUUGGAGGUAGACUGUGUAAAAGGACUAAAAUGUAAUGAAUAUUAAAACAAGAGGCCAAAAAGGCCUUGUAAUUGUGCACUUGACAUUUAUUAAAACAAAAUGGAAGUUUGAAUUGAAAGGAUACGGAAUGUUCAUACAGAGAAUGAUUCAUUACUAUUCUGCCGAAUACUGGAUAUUCUAAAUCAGCCAAGGUGUCAAGAAGAAACUAACUGAAAGUUAGGAAAUGAAAAAAAUUGUUAAUAUCUCCAUUGGCUGUCUCUAGCCACCAAACUAGUGUUAUUGAAUCUUAGUCAAAGGAAACCGGCAACUACCAAUCUGUUUAACGUUCAGGGGGUGGAAAACAAACUUGAGUAUAGCACUUUGUAAGCAAAUUUGUAAAUGGUAUUGACAUUUCAAUAUCCCAGCGAAAGCUAUUAGAGGGUCUUCAUUGUUGCAAACAUUUUAAAGGAAUCAAAAGAAAUAUUGUGCACUGGAAACCCGUGGACCGACAGAACCAAUAAACCAGAGUCAGGAUAUCGUACUCAACAUUCCAGAUUAGCAAUUCCCAUUGACGUUGGCGCUUACAUUGAUUAUAAAAGAGUCAAAGCAGCAAUGAGAGCAAGAGAGCAAUGUGUUUAAUUUCACAGACCUUGUAGACUCGCUGAGCUCACUAUUGGCCUCCCAAUUCAUUCGGUACACUUCCCAUGGAGGCAUAUUGAUCUAGGCAAUAUGGUUGAAAACAGUGUAAAUACCGCUCAUGCAGCUUCUCUCCCGUGUAGUCUGCACUAUUAAGGGUGUCUCUCUCGAGCAGAGUAACUAAGAAUAACUGAAAAAAAUGCAACUGACCCUGGUCCGAAAACAUUGAUUCAGUUCAGCUCUAAAUCCGGAGGAGCUGGAACAUGCACAGGCAUUUGGUGCCGCUUUGUGACUUUUGAGUAAUCUGUUUUGAGACGAUAUGAGCGGACACACUGCUUCUUGCGUGCACGUACACACAUGGACAGAGGGGGGAGGAAGGGGACAAAAUAUGCACAUAUGUGCGAACCUCAGGGCACAAGUAUGUUAGGCAGAGGAGAAGAGACAGGAAGGUCUGAGGGGAAAGAGGGUGGGAGCUGAAAACAAAAGGAUCAGAUUAUGUAAAUACUGCUAAUGCUCAUUCUCAAGAAAACAGAAAAAAAGGCAGGAAGAGUUCUGUGAGCAUCCAACUUGAACUCACGAGACAAAUUGCAUCCAAAUAUCAUGUCACAGUGGAGAUACUACAGAAUAAACAGCCCUUUAAUAAAAUAAAAUGACAAUGGCUGCCAAAAUCAAACUGCUCAGCAGUUCAGGAUUUAUUAACAAAAACCAAGUGGAAAAUCUAAAGGACGGUUUAGCUGAUCAAUACAAAAUGCACCAACAGUCACUUUGUCAAAUGCGUCAUAUACGAGGUGUGGACGUCGUCUCAGGUGUGUUUAGUAAUGCAAAGUUACGUCUGAGAUGAAGUUGAUAAGCACAACUAUUGAUGCGGCAUCAUAAAACAGUGGUUAUUUAGUGCAGCACAUUAGCAAUGGACAGUGGUGGGGGCUGCAUGCUUGCCUGUGCGCUUCAGUAAUCAUAGCCUUUCCUCCUUGUGCUCACAACACCCAGUCUUCAGCCUAUAAAACAUUGACUACUCGCUGGUGCAGACAGGACCCGUUAACCUCGGAGGAUAUGAGGCAGAUACCCAUGCACGCACAGUAGUGCACACUUUAUGCUUCUGUCACAGGCGAAAUGAGGAAAACUGCCUCAGAAUAGUUGUAAAACAAACUGUUCACGGUUUUAAGAACCUCUACAGAAAAAUCAUGGAGUUAGGAGAAUAAUAAUUUGGAGAAAUUAUGAAAAAAUUAUAUAUAAUGGAUCUGGGUUAGGUAAUGAGGAUCCCUAGAAUGAUACAACUACUGGCAGUUUUAGAUUUUUGCGUUAAAUUCUCCAGUUAUGGCAAGGAUAUUUUUUCUACUUUCAUACUCUAGUCCAACAAAUAAUGAAAUCAAUUCAACAUCUGAAAUAUGGCAACGCUAUUUCGCUAAUGCUCAUAUUUCCAUGAAUUAUAUUUUGUUUAUCUGAAUUUGGUCUAUAGAUUUACAUGCUUAUGGUAUUAACUUGUAUGAUCAUCAUGGAAAAUUGGGUCAUUCUAAUGGGAAGUAUUAAUACAUAUAGCAAAGAAAGAUGAACCGAAAAAUAAUAAUAUAGGAUUUGUGUGUCAAAUCUCAAAUCUCCCUUCAGUAAGCGAGCCAGGGAAACAAAGUUCCAACUUAAAAGGAUCACACAAACAAAAGGCUUAUAGAUCUUUACGCACAAAUUCACAUUGGCCGACAAUUUUAACAAAUAGUAAGAAAUAACUUCCUUUCAGUUGUAGGUUUACAUCAGGCAGCGGUCCGUGAAAGUUACAGCCUGACACCACUGGGUAAUAGGGCGGACUGAACAACUGCCAGUAAACACUGUGCCCGUCUACAAACACUGAACCAGUUAUAAUCCAGCUGUUAUUCCAUGAUGAAGCCCAGCUUUCCCACAGACUACUACUAACUGAGUGAGCAUCAGUGUUAAAUUUCAAUGGGAUCAAAGGGAACCGGUGGUGGGGCAUUUUAUAUAUAUAUAUAUAUAUAUAUAUUCAGUUUAACUCACUCCGUUUAGCUUUUUGUUACUGGAGGUUACAGAGAUUAGAUAAAGAACAAGACAAACAUAUCAAUGGAAAAGAUCUGUAGUAAAUCAAAAUUCUAAUGUUUCACUACUAAAAAAAACCCUCACCAUACUAGAUGUUCUUAUUGAUCGCUUCAUCUCCACUCUAUCCUCACACUCUUUCACUCACACUUUUGGUGUUAACACUAAAGUACUAGACUAUUAUUGAUAUGAUUGUUAGUAAUUUAUCAACAGUGGACAUUAUUGAUGAAAGGUACCACAGAAAUUUUGUGAUCUGUUCAGAUCUCUACACAGUUUGGCACACAUCUCAACUCUGGAUCAAUUACACAAUAUCCUGAACCUUACCCUAAUAUUCACAAAAAUAUUAGGCCAUUAGGACCGCUGCAUUUGGUUUUCUAGUUUUUCAUCGGACAUUGGUGAAAUGUUAAUCCAUGUUUAAAUUGAGAAUAACUAGUUAAAGCCAUAGUUAGUCCCUGGAUUGUGACUGCACCCCCUCCUGAGAAGAGGGCCAUUAGCAAUGGCAAAUAUUAUGUAAAAAAGAUACACAAAAUAACUUCUUUAAAAAAUUUGUUUUAAUCAAGGUAUAAUGAGCAUUCCAUGCAAACAACAUUUGAAUCAGCAUGAGGGGUCUGCAGAGAUCACAGUCUCCUAGAGCUCAACUACAGUGCAUAGUGGCAGGACUACAGUGACCUUUUCUUUGGUCUUACUUAAAUGCACAGAGGAUGUAUUAACCACACAUCUUCUAGCAAUGCGCUCAACUGGCAGAAAUGAUGCUGGGUACGACGUGUCUGUUCCCUGCAAGCCCCAAACUUCUAUUGGCUUUCCAUAAAAAUGUCUGUCCGGGUGGAGAUGAAGCCAGGAAACUUGUGCAAGAACAUGUUUAAAUGCCGUACCCUUUGACACAACAUUAACAACUAUAAACUGCUUUAUAAUGGCUGGUCGUAGUUCUGCUAGAGGGUCAAGGACGGGUUCCUCAAAACUGUUAGUGUUUCCACACCACUUCGCAUGAACAUAUGCUGACCUUUCUGCUCUGCAUCUAUCGAUUGAGUAAGUUACAUUCAUAUAUGUUACCCGUUUACAUGUCAUGGCAAAACAUUCAACCUCAGUGACACAAGGGUACAUCUGAUGAUACAUUGUCAACAUUGCAUGUCUGUCAGACUCAUCCAAGACUGUCUGGUGGAAUGGAGAAAGAGGCACCACUGUACAGUUUUGUAGGGAAAGUCGUUCUGCUGACACCAAAACACUGUGCUUUACAUAAAGCAUAUCAGCUGUUUCAAAGUCCCAACCAUUUGUCUUCCUAAAAUACUGGUCCUUCCGUAUAACAAUAACCUCGUAUGUGAUUGGAGGACCCUUAGACUCCUCGUCCAAUCACGUGUGAGGUCAUAGGCAUGACUGAUACAGCAGUACUUGCAAGACGAGCAUACAAACAGACACGUGUGUUACUAUAUUCAGAAGAACUGUAUCUCCAGUUCCUUUGUUCGGUUUUUGCUGCUUCGUGAAUAAUGGCGGGACGACGUGUCGCGUUCAACUCGCCUUCAACUCCUCUCCGCGGUCACCAACUUUUGGCCAGUCUGCAGACAGACGAGAAGAUGCUGCUGAAUGCUCUCAGUGGAUCGUCUCGUCACUCCAACAACAAACUGCCGAUAUCAACGAGCGGUUCGCUCCACUGGAGCGUUCGGGACUCUGCGGGUUUCUGUCCAUGGAGGAGAGGAACUGACUCAAAGAAGAGGAGACGGGCGCACAAUCCCAAGAUAGCGGUAAGAAUACGUUCGAUGACUGCAAGCUAAGCUAAAAGUAGCGUAGCCUCAAGCUAAGCUAAGAGUAGCCUAGUAGCCUUACAAGUGAGCAGAAACAGCUUUAUUAAAGUGUGUUUUCUUUGCCGUGUCGUUUACAGGAAGCGGUGCGCCGUCUUCACAACUCCGAGACGAACUACAGGCGCCACGAACCGGAGCAAGGGUCAGAUUUACAGAAUAUGCUUUCAUUCUGCGGUAUAAGGGAAUAUAUACAUAUAGAUACCGAUCAUAACUGUACAUUUUGUUUUCACAGACUAAUCUCGCCUCAUAAUGAGGCGGUGACCUCGUAUUUGCUCCGGGAAAAGUCCAGAUUUAGACGACGUCAUUGUGUGUAAGUGACACGGUUUACUGUUUCUCCUUCCUUGUUAAAUGUUACUGUGACUUGCGUUUGAUUUUUUUCGUAUUCAUA
Gasterosteus aculeatus aculeatus (three-spined stickleback) is the source of this 7720-nucleotide long non-coding RNA. The record is from Ensembl. Lineage: Eukaryota; Metazoa; Chordata; Actinopteri; Perciformes; Gasterosteidae.